AGAGUUUGAUCCUGGCUCAGAUUGAACGCUGGCGGCAGGCCUAACACAUGCAAGUCGAACGGUAACAGGAAACAGCUUGCUGUUUCGCUGACGAGUGGCGGACGGGUGAGUAAUGUCUGGGAAACUGCCUGAUGGAGGGGGAUAACUACUGGAAACGGUAGCUAAUACCGCAUAACGUCGCAAGACCAAAGAGGGGGACCCUCGGGCCUCUUGCCAUCGGAUGUGCCCAGAUGGGAUUAGCUUGUUGGUGGGGUAACGGCUCACCAAGGCGACGAUCCCUAGCUGGUCUGAGAGGAUGACCAGCCACACUGGAACUGAGACACGGUCCAGACUCCUACGGGAGGCAGCAGUGGGGAAUAUUGCACAAUGGGCGCAAGCCUGAUGCAGCCAUGCCGCGUGUAUGAAGAAGGCCUUCGGGUUGUAAAGUACUUUCAGCGGGGAGGAAGGGAGUAAAGUUAAUACCUUUGCUCAUUGACGUUACCCGCAGAAGAAGCACCGGCUAACUCCGUGCCAGCAGCCGCGGUAAUACGGAGGGUGCAAGCGUUAAUCGGAAUUACUGGGCGUAAAGCGCACGCAGGCGGUUUGUUAAGUCAGAUGUGAAAUCCCCGGGCUCAACCUGGGAACUGCAUCUGAUACUGGCAAGCUUGAGUCUCGUAGAGGGGGGGUAGA
Molecule: ribosomal RNA, 669 nt
Filed under: uncultured bacterium
Lineage: Bacteria
Description: bacterial SSU rRNA
Rfam family: Bacterial small subunit ribosomal RNA
Source: RNAcentral